This 25-nucleotide non-coding RNA is filed under the name Bombyx mori (domestic silkworm). The record is from RNAcentral. Lineage: Eukaryota; Metazoa; Arthropoda; Insecta; Lepidoptera; Bombycidae.
CACUAUGCAAAAAGAGAUCGAUCGG